UAUAGCUUGGUGUAAGUUUAGCAUUCUAUGUUUUGGUUGUGGGGGUAAUUUGAUGUUAGCUAUAA
This 65-nucleotide transfer RNA is filed under the name Metorchis bilis. Its description in RNAcentral is "tRNA-Gln". Lineage: Eukaryota; Metazoa; Platyhelminthes; Trematoda; Opisthorchiida; Opisthorchiidae. The record is from RNAcentral.